RNAcentral lists this ribosomal RNA (468 nucleotides) under uncultured bacterium. Its description in RNAcentral is "partial 16S ribosomal RNA". It matches the Rfam family "Bacterial small subunit ribosomal RNA", at positions 28 to 507 of the family's 1533-position model. The record is from RNAcentral.
GACGAACGCUGGCGGCGUGCUUAACACAUGCAAGUCGAACGGAAAGGCCCUGCCUUUGUGGGGUGCUCGAAUGGCGAACGGGUGAGUAACACGUGAGUAACCUGCCCUUGACUUUGGGAUAACUUCAGGAAACUGGGGCUAAUACCGGAUAGGAGCUCCUGCUGCAUGGUGGGGGUUGGAAAGUUUCGGCGGUUGGGGAUGGACUCGCGGCUUAUCAGCUUGUUGGUGGGGUAGUGGCUUACCAAGGCUUUGACGGGUAGCCGGCCUGAGAGGGUGACCGGCCACAUUGGGACUGAGAUACGGCCCAGACUCCUACGGGAGGCAGCAGUGGGGAAUAUUGCACAAUGGGCGGAAGCCUGAUGCAGCAACGCCGCGUGCGGGAUGACGGCCUUCGGGUUGUAAACCGCUUUCGCCUGUGACGAAGCGUGAGUGACGGUAAUGGGUAAAGAAGCACCGGCUAACUACGUG